Long non-coding RNA from Planococcus citri (citrus mealybug), 1037 nucleotides. RefSeq lists it as uncharacterized. NCBI's taxonomy places the organism in Eukaryota, Metazoa, Arthropoda, Insecta, Hemiptera, Pseudococcidae. The record is from RefSeq and is a predicted model, not a curated record. The transcript is spliced from 2 exons.
AAGAAAAAAGUUGUCCCGGAGAAUCGGCAAGGGGGUGCAGGUGAUCCUUAUGCGGGCCCCCCGACUCCGCGCUUCCAGAAACCUUAUGAGUAAUGAGAGGCGUCUGUCAUGCGAUUUUUUUCAAAUUUCAAAAAAUUUGAGGUCCUGAUGCGAGGAACAUCGGAGGGACCAAAUGCAUUCAGUGCUCUUUAAAACGUAUGAGACGAUAUGUCAAACGAUGCAUGAAACCCAAUUGAGUAAAUAUUUUAUUAAUCGACGAUAAAUCAGUCUAAAGGCAUGAUUUACGUUGUAGAUUAAGUACAUUAGUUUUAAAAACCAGCAUUCGCCAAACAUCAGUUUCAACUUUCAGUGCUACACCAACAAACAUAAAUCAGGUACCUAGGUAGGUAGGUACCUAAACAGCAAAUUAAAACAUUUUUAUUGCUCAAAGAGAGCAAUUGUUCACUCGGUAAUGGUGAUUUUCAAGGUAUAAUCGUGUGAUCGAUCGAUCGAUUGAUAAGAUGUUGAUAAAACUUUUACUCUUACAAUUUUUGAACGUUUUUCUAAUCAAUCUGGUAAUGCAUCCGGUUCACGGUGUAACUCCUGAUGAAUAUCGCGCUUUCAAAGGCAAGGAUCUUUCUACGCAGAGCCAAGAUACUCUUGACAGAAUAUGCAAUAAAGCAGCGCCGAAGAUAGACCGUUCUGGAACAGAUUACAAAGCUAGAAUCCAGGAAUGUACGCUGCAGCUAACAGCUGACCCUCAUGAUAAUGUUGUUGAAAAAUUAGCUCGUUGUAGUGGGUCCCAUGGUGAAUUUUUCAUUGGCAAAGGGCAAUCGCUGUAUGGUGUUUAUUAUCAUUUAUGUAGCAGUUCUCAAGGUUGGAGGUGUACUCCUAAACAAAAUGUAGCUGGAGCUGUAUAGUUGUUUUUGAAUUUUUUUUUUGUUUUUUUUUUAUACCUUAGAAUUAACAAUAUUAUAAUACAAUUAUUGUUUCUGAAAAAAAUCAAUGUAAUAAGAUAAUCUGUAAAAAAAAAUUAAAAAAAUAAAAAAAAAAAUGAA